Molecule: long non-coding RNA, 441 nt
Organism: Schistocerca gregaria
Lineage: Eukaryota; Metazoa; Arthropoda; Insecta; Orthoptera; Acrididae
Exons: 3
Source: RefSeq, a predicted model, not a curated record
GCACCUUUUGCAGAUAACAGGAGGCGGCUUACUUUAGAAUGCUUGUAGUAACUGCAAACUGUAACAGAAGGAAAGUGGAAAACUAAUUCUAGCAGUAGCGCCUCACCACUCCGUCUACUGGGAACGCCAGAUGGUCCAGCUGUUGCCUCAGCCCGCGUGGGAAUUGAUAUCUUAGGCUGCGGUCACAAUGGCCAGCAUCUCGGUAGCUUCCGCUGACUACCGACAACCGCCGAAGACGUCCGAUCUGUACGCCUUAACGUGGGGCGGUCACAAGGUAUAUAAUGUCUGCAGUCCUGGUUACGCAUUGAAAUCGUCACGCCACAAUGCCGUAGGACGCCACUAUAGCAGUGGUUCUCAAACUCUUCCCCUGACGGAACACUGCAAAUCAUGGCACUUUCAUGGAACUUCUUGUUUAUUUUAAAGAUUAAUAAAAUUUUAAAA